UGUUAAAAGUUCAUCCAUUUCUAGUAUUAAAAAUUAGCGUGGUUGAUGAAAUAACCAGACAGUAACACUUGGGGUACCACAUGUACCUCAUUCUAACCUACAGGGACCAAUAUUCAACGGUAGAAAUGGAUGGAAUUUUUAACA
Molecule: microRNA precursor, 144 nt
Organism: Gossypium arboreum
Lineage: Eukaryota; Viridiplantae; Streptophyta; Magnoliopsida; Malvales; Malvaceae
Rfam family: MIR7502 microRNA precursor family
Source: Rfam